AAGUCGUAACAAGGUUUCCGUAGGUGAACCUGCGGAAGGAUCAUUAUUGAAUUAUAAGGCUCUGAUUGUGCUGGCCUCUCGGGGCAUGUGCACGUCUCUGCCCGUUAAUCCCAACCCACCCCUGUGAACCGACCGUGUGGGCGCUCUGUAACGGAGCCGUCCCAUGCUUUAUCAUAAACCCUGUAUGUCAUCAGAAUGUAAAUCUAUAUCCUCGCCUUAAAACCGCGUCGGUAAAAAAAAUUAAUACAACUUUCAACAACGGAUCUCUUGGCUCUGGCAUCGAUGAAGAACGCAGCGAAAUGCGAUAAGUAAUGUGAAUUGCAGAUUUUCAGUGAAUCAUCGAAUCUUUGAACGCACCUUGCGCUCCCUGGUAUUCCGGGGAGCAUGCCUGUUUGAGUGUCAUUAAAUUCUCAACCCCGAUCGGAUUUGUUUUCGCAUUCGGAGGCUUGGAUAGUGGAGCGUGCUGGCCCCCUCUCAUGGGUCGGCUCCUCUCAAAUGCAUUCGCGGAAUCGACUUUGGUCCAUUUCGGUCAUCAGUGUGAUAAAUGUUGCGCUGUUGGCUAGGAUCGAGGUGCCGCAUACAAUGGUCUUCGGACAAUUUUAUAAACCAUUUGACCUCAAUCAGGUAGGACUANCCGCUGAACUUAAGCAUAUCAAUAAGCGGAGGAAAAGAGACUNACGAGGAUUCCCCUAGUNACUGCGAGUGNAGCGGGAAAAGCUCAAAUUUAAAAUCUGGCGUCCUCCGGGCGUCCGAGUUGUAAUCUGGAGAAGCGUUUUCCGCGCCGGACCGUGUACAAGUCUUCUGGAACGGAGCGUCAUAGAGGGUGAGAAUCCCGUCUCUGACACGGACUACCGAUGCUUUUGUGAUGCGCUCUCGAAGAGUCGAGUUGUUUGGGAAUGCAGCUCAAAAUGGGUGGUAAAUUCCAUCUAAAGCUAAAUAUUGGCCAGAGACCGAUAGCGAACAAGUACCGUGAGGGAAAGAUGAAAAGCACUUUGGAAAGAGAGUUAAACAGUACGUGAAAUUGUUGAAAGGGAAACGCUUGAAGUCAGUCGCGUUGGCCGAGACUCAGCCUGGCUUGCCUGGUGUACUUCUCGGUUGACGGGUCAGCACCAGUUUUGACCGCUGGAUAAAGGUUGGAGGAAUGUGGCAUCUCUCGGGAUGUGUUAUAGCCUCUGAUUCGCAUACAGCGAUUGGGACUGAGGAACUCAGCACGCCUUUACGGUCGGGGUUCGCCCACGUAACGUGCUUAGGAUGCUGGCAUAAUGGCUUUAAGCGACCCGUCUUGAAACACGGACC
RNAcentral lists this ribosomal RNA (1296 nucleotides) under uncultured fungus. RNAcentral's name for it is "eukaryotic LSU rRNA". The stretch from base 611 to 1296 matches the Rfam family "Eukaryotic large subunit ribosomal RNA", at positions 1 to 667 of the family's 3401-position model. The record is from RNAcentral. Lineage: Eukaryota; Fungi.